CGUGCUAAUCUGCGAUAAGCGCCGGUAAGGUGAUAUGAACCGUUAUAACCGGCGAUACCCGAAUGGGGAAACCCAGUGUGAUUCGUCACACUAUCAUUAACUGAAUCCAUAGGUUAAUGAGGCGAACCGGGGGAACUGAAACAUCUAAGUACCCCGAGGAAAAGAAAUCAACCGAGAUUCCCCCAGUAGCGGCGAGCGAACGGGGAGGAGCCCAGAGCCUGAAUCAGCAUGUGUGUUAGUGGAAGCGUCUGGAAAGGCGCGCGAUACAGGGUGACAGCCCCGUACACAAAAGCGCAUGUGCUGUGAGCUCGAUGAGUAGGGCGGGACACGUGGUAUCCUGUCUGAAUAUGGGGGGACCAUCCUCCAAGGCUAAAUACUCCUGACUGACCGAUAGUGAACCAGUACCGUGAGGGAAAGGCGAAAAGAACCCCGGCGAGGGGAGUGAAAAAGAACCUGAAACCGUGUACGUACAAGCAGUGGGAGCACCCUUCGGGGUGUGACUGCGUACCUUUUGUAUAAUGGGUCAGCG
Molecule: ribosomal RNA, 529 nt
Filed under: Salmonella enterica subsp. enterica serovar Typhimurium
Lineage: Bacteria; Pseudomonadati; Pseudomonadota; Gammaproteobacteria; Enterobacterales; Enterobacteriaceae
Description: partial 23S ribosomal RNA
Rfam family: Bacterial large subunit ribosomal RNA
Source: RNAcentral